CGCAGUAUGGUGUAGGGAUGCACGCGGGGUUUUGCUGUCCUUUGUUCUUUCGGCGUUGAAUCCCCCGAGGUCCUUGUUCGAUUCAAGGUACUGCUC
This is a non-coding RNA of Mycena filopes, 96 nucleotides long. The record is from the annotation of a GenBank genome assembly. Lineage: Eukaryota; Fungi; Basidiomycota; Agaricomycetes; Agaricales; Mycenaceae.